CCUACGGGUGGCAGCAGUGAGGAAUAUUGGGCAAUGGACGAGAGUCUGAACCAGCAAAGUAGCGUGAAGGAUGACUGCCCUAUGGGUUGUAAACUUCUUUUAUAAAGGAAUAAAACGAGGCACGUGUGCAUUUUUGCAUGUACUUUAUGAAUAAGGAUCGGCUAACUCCGUGCCAGCAGCCGCGGUAAUACGGAGGAUCCGAGCGUUAUCCGGAUUUAUUGGGUUUAAGGGGAGCGUAGAUGGGUUGUUAAGUCAGUUGUUAAAGUUUGCGGCUCAACCGUAAAAUUGCAAUGGAUACUGGCAGCCUUGAGUACAGUUGAGGUAGGCGGAAUUCGUGGGGUAGCGGUGAAAUGCUUAGAUAUCACGAAGAACCCCGAUUGCGAAGGCAGCUUACGAAACUGUGACUGACAUUGAUGCUCGAAAGUGGGGGUAUCAAACAGGAUUAGAUACCCCGGUAGUC
This 460-nucleotide ribosomal RNA is filed under the name uncultured bacterium. Its description in RNAcentral is "partial 16S ribosomal RNA". It matches the Rfam family "Bacterial small subunit ribosomal RNA", at positions 338 to 795 of the family's 1533-position model. The record is from RNAcentral.